UGGGAAUUUGGACAAUGGGCGAAAGCCUGAUCCAGCAAUGCCGCGUGUGUGAAGAAGGCCUUCGGGUUGUAAAGCACUUUUGUCCGGAAAGAAAUCCUUGGCUCUAAUACAGUCGGGGGAUGACGGUACCGGAAGAAUAAGCACCGGCUAACUACGUGCCAGCAGCCGCGGUAAUACGUAGGGUGCAAGCGUUAAUCGGAAUUACUGGGCGUAAAGCGUGCGCAGGCGGUUUGCUAAGACCGAUGUGAAAUCCCCGGGCUCAACCUGGGAACUGCAUUGGUGACUGGCAGGCUAGAGUAUGGCAGAGGGGGGUAGAAUUCCACGUGUAGCAGUGAAAUGCGUAGAGAUGUGGAGGAAUACCGAUGGCGAAGGCAGCCCCCUGGGCCAAUACUGACGCUCAUGCACGAAAGCGUGGGGAGCAAAACAGGAUUAGAUACCCUGGUAGUCCACGCCCUAAACGAUGUCAACUAGUUGUUGGGGAUUCAUUUCCUUAGUAGCGUAGCUAACGCGUGAAGUUGACCGCCUGGGGAGUACGGUCGCAAGAUUAAAACUCAAAGGAAUUGACGGGGUCAUAGCUG
RNAcentral lists this ribosomal RNA (578 nucleotides) under uncultured bacterium. Its description in RNAcentral is "partial 16S ribosomal RNA". It matches the Rfam family "Bacterial small subunit ribosomal RNA", at positions 357 to 932 of the family's 1533-position model. The record is from RNAcentral.